RNAcentral lists this transfer RNA (89 nucleotides) under Ephemerocybe angulata. RNAcentral's name for it is "Coprinellus angulatus tRNA". It matches the Rfam family "tRNA". Rfam says of the family: Transfer RNA (tRNA) molecules are approximately 80 nucleotides in length. Lineage: Eukaryota; Fungi; Basidiomycota; Agaricomycetes; Agaricales; Psathyrellaceae. The record is from Rfam by way of RNAcentral.
GCCGUCGUAGCACAAUGGUAGUGCGUUGCUUUCCUAAAUCACAUGACUUUACGAGGCAGAGGUUGUGGGUUCGAUCCCCACCGUCGGUU